CAGUAGCCACGGUAAUACAGAGGUCCCGAGCGUUGUUCGGAUUCACUGGGCGUAAAGGGUGUGUAGGAGGUUGGAUAAGUCAGGUGUGAAAUCCCGCAGCUCAACUGCGGAACUGCAUUCGAUACUGUUCAACUAGAGGAUCGGAGGGGGAAGCGGAAUUCUUGGUGUAGCGGUGAAAUGCGUAGAUAUCAAGAGGAACACCGGUGGCGAAGGCGGCUUCCUGGAAGAUACCUGACUCUGAAACACGAAAGCCAGGGGAGCGAAUGGGAUUAGAUACCCCCGUAGUCCCUGUCUCUUAUAC
RNAcentral lists this ribosomal RNA (301 nucleotides) under uncultured bacterium. RNAcentral's name for it is "partial 16S ribosomal RNA". It matches the Rfam family "Bacterial small subunit ribosomal RNA", at positions 509 to 807 of the family's 1533-position model. The record is from RNAcentral.